Triticum aestivum (bread wheat) is the source of this 2316-nucleotide RNA transcript. RefSeq lists it as uncharacterized. The transcript has 3 exons. NCBI's taxonomy places the organism in Eukaryota, Viridiplantae, Streptophyta, Magnoliopsida, Poales, Poaceae. The record is from RefSeq and is a predicted model, not a curated record.
UCGGAUCUCGGACGAGAGCCUGCAAACCCUAGUCCCGCUCGCUUCACUCUUCUUGCCCGCGGCAGGCCCAAAAUCCAGUUCCCCUCUCCCAUUCCCACCGCCGGCCGGCCGCCACAUCCGCGCCAAUGGCCUCGCCUUCGCCUCCCCCCACGCCGCCCACCGCCGACGAGCCUCCGCCUCCGCCUACUCCUGACGGAGAUGCCCCCUCCCCGCCCACGGACGCCGAAUCCCCCCCGCCGCUCCCGGAGGCCGACGCCCCUGCCGCGCCGCCCCCGGACGCCGACGCCGACGCCCCGCCUCUGCAGCAGCCGCACCUCCCGGACGGCAUCCUGGAGGACAUCUUCCUGCGGCUCACGACGGCAGCAGACGUCGCGCGGGCGUCGGCCGCCUGCGCCUCCUUCCGGGCCAUCACGUCGGCCCUCCCGUUCCGGCGCCGCUUCCGCGCGCUCCACAGGGCCCCGGUGCUCGGCUUCCUCCGGGAGGACUUCUACGCGGCGCGCCCGCCGCACCCAUCCGCCCCGGCCGCGCGCGCCCUCGCGCGGGCAGCCGACUUCGCCUUCUCCUUCCUCCCCGACGACGCCGCGUGCUGGAGCCCCCGGGACGCGCGCGACGGCCGCGUGCUCUUCUCCGCCGUGCCCAGCUCCCACGGCCGCGGCAGCUUCGCCGACGCCACCUCCACCACCUUCGUCGACCUCGUCGUCGCCGACCCGCUCUCCCGCCGCUGCGUCCGCGUCCCGCCCGUGCCCGACGACCUGGCGGCCCCCGUUCUGCGGUGGGGCAUGCUCGACUUCGAGCCCUUCCUCGCGCCGGCCAGCGCCGAGGACCUGCGCGACGAGGGCGCGCCCUUCAGGGUCAUCGGCAAGGUGCUGUGCGAGGACAGGGUCGCCGUGUUCGCCUUCUCCUCGCGCACCGGUGAGUGGCGCAGCCACGGCUCGAGCGAGCUGUCCAACGACUUUGCGCUGGACGCGCUGUAUGAGCGGCGCCACUAUGUGCAGGGCUGCUUCUGCUGGCUGUUGGAGUGGAUGGAGAAGCUGCUCAUGCUCGAUGCUGGUGCGAUGGAGUUCUCCAUCGUGGACCUCCCGCCCGGCAACGACGAGCGGCGGUUCGCCAUUUUGGAGGCAGGGCAAGGCAGGAUUGGGCUGCUAAAUAUUGGGAGGAACACAUUGGACUUGUACUAUAAGGCCUGGCCAGGCAAACGCAAUGGAGAGUGGCAACACGAAACGAAAGAGCACCCACUGCCUGACUAUCACUGGCGCAUCAUAGGUUCUGAUGAGGAGUACUUGCUCCUGAGAGGGAUUUCACUUGAUUGGCCCUGGUUCGGGAGCGCUUCAUCGGAGAGUCCGGAUAUUGAGUAUUUUGCACUGGAGCUCAAGGCAUUGCAACUCGAGAGGAUGUACGUGUCCAAGCACAAAAUGUUGCAUGCUCACCUGUAUAGGGGCUACCCGCCGCAGAUCUCGGCACCAACUCUAUGAACUGUGGUUUCAGGUUUACAACAUUGCUAUCACUUUUACAUCGCUGCCAUACAGCAGGUUACAUAUCCUUCGCCCUUGAAUGUGGAGAAGUGGCUACAAAACUGUGAGCAGAGCACAUUGAAGGACACAAAGUUCGAGCACAUUGAAGGUUACAUAUCCUUUGUCCUGUGUAUUGCCGCUGGAGAAGUGGUGAAUGAGUUGGUGUGGUUGUCUGACGGCAAGAAGCGUGUCAGUGGAGGCCGGAAGUUUGCCGCUGGCGGCAGAUGGUGGAAGUCAGGAUGGCCGCUGCGAAGGGAUGCCCAACCUUAUGUGCCAGUUGGGCGUUAUCGGGCGCCAGCGAUCUUUCUUGAGCUGCGUCUUGACCCACAGUUUGUCUACAUCGACUUACGUUGGCUGUUUUCUGGCUUAGGUCAUUCUAUAUAUUCUUGCCAUCCCAAAGCAUGUUUUGGAGAGUCCGCUUUGGCGCCGAAGUUUGUAGCAAUUUGCAGGAUACUAGAUCCAACUUGACAAAUGUGGCAACCCUGGUUUUUCUCCCCACUGCUGGCAGCAUGUGAGACCAGCUCAGCUGAUGAGCUAACAUUGAGAGAGUUUAUGGCCAGUUCAGUGGGUGGUGGCUCUGGUUUCUUUCUGACCUGGUGCAGUGGAGGCUGUUUAUUCAUGGCCAGAGUCCCAACUCCACCAAGUCACGGAGAUGACCUUUUGGUAGCCAGCGUGUAUGCAUGUAUUAGAGUAUGUAUUAUGUAUGUAACCUGGAUGGCCUAUGGCCUCGUUGUAUCUUUUUGUUGUUGUUGAGAAACAACCUUGUUGUAUCUUUUUGUUGUUGUUGAGAAACAGCCUUGUUGUA